Molecule: long non-coding RNA, 1279 nt
Filed under: Ananas comosus (pineapple)
Lineage: Eukaryota; Viridiplantae; Streptophyta; Magnoliopsida; Poales; Bromeliaceae
Description: long non-coding RNA (ACOM_LNC035326)
Source: RNAcentral
UGCCCAACUAAAAUUGUAAAUCUCAUAAAAAUUAAUAAUAAUAAUUUAAUAUUAUAUUAUGAGUUGAGCUAGAAUACUACCAAUAGCAAACGGGCUCCGUUGCCACCCAUUUGUUUUCAAUGAUAGAGCCUCCGAAUCGACGAUCGGCACCGUUAAACAUGAUCUAUACUACUUGAAAUGUUUAGAAAUCAAAUUUCAAAUCUUUUCGAAAUCAUUUGCCUAAUGAUUAAAGGGUUUCAAAAUUUAUUAUUUUAAUGGUCGAUAUGAGGCGUUUUCUCGUUUAAUGGCGUAAAGAUAUCCAAAUCAAUUGAAUUUUUGUUAAAAUUUUUUUAAAACUAUUUAAAGUAAGAUCUAUACUCUUGAUCUUGAUUACAAGACUCCUACCAUCAUUUUUUAAAGAAUAUUUAUUUUCAACCGUUAAUUUUUGUCUACUCGAUGGAUAAGAGAAUAAUAUUGAAAAUGUAGAAAAAUUGAUUUCUAAACACUUCAAGUGGUAUAGAUCAUGUUUAACGGUGCCGAUCGUCGAUUCGGAGGCUCCAUUAUCGAAAACAAAUGGGUGACAACGGAGCCGAUUUUGCUAUCGAUAAUAUUCUAGCUCAACUCAUUAUAUUAUUAUUAUUAUUAUUAUUAUUAUUAUUAUUAUUAGAUUUAUUAUUGUUGAUAAUGUGACCAAUGCCUCUUUCAUCGAAGUGACAUAACCGCGAGAUGAAAGAGUAAAUGAGCGAGCAGCAAGCGUUGAUCAUCUUAUUAUUAGAGCUGCUAUCCGUGCACCCUACGGGCCCGUUUGUUUUAGUGUAAGUGGAGUGAUGGAACUCAAGUUCCAUCACUUUCGUUAUUUGUUUUGGUGUAAGUGAAAAAUAUAAUGUAACUCAAGUUACGUUAGAGCUCCACUUCACCUACUCUCGACUUCCGGCUCUACAGUACCGAACUCGACUUCCACCACACUCAACCUUCUCUAAACAAUUUAUUAAACAGUAAAAUCUAAACUCUACUUUCUUUAUAAUGGGUUAGAAUUACUUUAUUUAUAAUAAAUUAAGAUUAUCUUUAAAUAAUAAUAAAAAAUUUAAUUAUAUAAUAGGUUAAAUUUUAUAGUGAUAAAUUUAUUACUAUAUUUAGGAGAUAAUGGGAUCCACUUACUUACAUCAAAACAAACAACGGAACUUAAAAAACUAAUUUUACCAGCACCAAGUUACAUCAAAACAAACAGCAGAAGUGAUUGAAUUUAACUUUCAGUGGUACGAGUUACGUCAAAACAAACAACAGAAAAAUAAUCACACUU